CUUGCAGCUGUUGUGUCCAUGUUGCUCAGACAAAGAAAUGUUGACCGUCCCUCCUAGUGUGUAUCCAGAUAGCCAUCAUGGUGUAUUGUCUGUUUUUACAUUACACUCUCUCCAGAGUCUUCAAGGAUCAGUGAUGUUGGGUGAAAGAGGGGAGGUACGGUCGAAGGUCGGAAAGAGUGGCACACUUCCGCCACUGCAGCCGGAGACCACCCCAGCAGAGGGACCCGCCGCUACCCCCGGACCAGCAGGGCUACCUGAUUCUCCUCCUGAAAGCGGUCUCCCACAGUAAUCUGAGUUGGGCGAAUAUCAUUUUUGGCCAUACGCUUCCUGGCUGUCCUCCAAACCUGGUCAGUCCUUCGGCCCUGCCUCCUCAUCACCCUCCGAACCUGCUCAGCCCUUUGGUCCUGUUUCUUGGUUGUCCUCCAAACCUGGUCAGCCAUUCCGUCCUGCACCCUGAUUGUCUUCCAGACGUACUCAGUGAUUCAGCCCUGUCUUGUAGUCACUCUCCGGACCUGCUCUGCCCAUCUGUUAUGUCCCCAGGCCUUCUGCCUGAGUUCUCCAGCUCUGCUACAGUCCUGCCCCUAGGCCAUCCUCCUGAGAUUUCCUGCUCCACCCCUGACCAGCUGUCUCACUGUCCACCUGGGAGCACAAGCUCCUCUCUUCAGCUCCCUUGACAUUUGCUCUUUAUGUAUUUGC
Molecule: long non-coding RNA, 696 nt
Organism: Micropterus dolomieu (smallmouth bass)
Lineage: Eukaryota; Metazoa; Chordata; Actinopteri; Centrarchiformes; Centrarchidae
Exons: 3
Source: RefSeq, a predicted model, not a curated record